GACGAACGCUGGCGGCGUGCUUAACACAUGCAAGUCGAACGGAAAGGCCCUGCUUUUGUGGGGUGCUCGAGUGGCGAACGGGUGAGUAACACGUGAGUAACCUGCCCUUGACUUUGGGAUAACUUCAGGAAACUGGGGCUAAUACCGGAUAGGAGCUCCUGCUGCAUGGUGGGGGUUGGAAAGUUUCGGCGGUUGGGGAUGGACUCGCGGCUUAUCAGCUUGUUGGUGGGGUAGGGGCUUACCAAGGCUUUGACGGGUAGCCGGCCUGAGAGGGUUACCGGCCACAUUGGGACUGAGAUACGGACCAGACUGCUACGGGAGGCAGCAGGGGGGAAUAUUGCACAAUGGGCGGAAGCCUGAUGCAGCAACGCCGCGUGCGGGAUGACGGCCUUCGGGUUGUAAACCGCUGUCGCCUGUGACGAAGCGUGAGUGACGGUAAUGGGUAAAGAAGCACCGGCUAACUACGUG
This 468-nucleotide ribosomal RNA is filed under the name uncultured bacterium. RNAcentral describes it as "partial 16S ribosomal RNA". It matches the Rfam family "Bacterial small subunit ribosomal RNA", at positions 28 to 507 of the family's 1533-position model. The record is from RNAcentral.